This 65-nucleotide transfer RNA is filed under the name Varanus scalaris. RNAcentral's name for it is "tRNA-Tyr". It matches the Rfam family "tRNA". Rfam says of the family: Transfer RNA (tRNA) molecules are approximately 80 nucleotides in length. Their secondary structure includes four short double-helical elements and three loops (D, anti-codon, and T loops). Further hydrogen bonds mediate the characteristic L-shaped molecular structure. tRNAs have two regions of fundamental functional importance: the anti-codon, which is responsible for specific mRNA codon recognition, and the 3' end, to which the tRNAs corresponding amino acid is attached (by aminoacyl-tRNA synthetases). tRNAs cope with the degeneracy of the genetic code in two manners: having more than one tRNA (with a specific anti-codon) for a particular amino acid; and 'wobble' base-pairing, i.e. permitting non-standard base-pairing at the 3rd anti-codon position. Lineage: Eukaryota; Metazoa; Chordata; Lepidosauria; Squamata; Varanidae. The record is from RNAcentral.
GGUAAGGUGGCUGAGUAGGCGGUAGACUGUAAAUCUAACCACGAGAGAUCUCCUCUCCCUUAUCA